GCAAGUCGAGGGGUAACGAUGUCUUCGGACAGGCGACGACCGGCGCACGGGUGCGUAACGCGUAUGCAACCUACCUUUAACUGGAGGAUAGCCCCGAGAAAUCGGGAUUAAUACUCCAUAGUAUUUUUCAGUGGCAUCACUGAAGACUUAAAGCUCCGGCGGUUAAAGAUGGGCAUGCGUGACAUUAGUUUGUUGGUGAGGUAACGGCUCACCAAGACUACGAUGUCUAGGGGUUCUGAGAGGAUGAUCCCCCACACUGGUACUGAGACACGGACCAGACUCCUACGGGAGGCAGCAGUGAGGAAUAUUGGUCAAUGGACGCAAGUCUGAACCAGCCAUGCCGCGUGCAGGAUGACAGCCCUAUGGGUUGUAAACUGCUUUUAUUAAGGAAUAAACCCUCCGACGUGUCGGAGGCUGAACGUACUUAAAGAAUAAGCAUCGGCUAACUCCGUGCCAGCAGCCGCGGUAAUACGGAGGAUGCAAGCGUUAUCCGGAUUCAUUGGGUUUAAAGGGUUCGCAGGCGGCGCAUUAAGUCAGUGGUGAAAUCUCUCGGCUCAACCGAGAAACUGCCAUUGAUACUGGUGUGCUAGAGUAUAGUUGGCGUAGGCGGAAUGUAUCAUGUAGCGGUGAAAUGCUUAGAUAUGAUACAGAACACCGAUCGCGAAGGCAGCUUACGAAACUAUAACUGACGCUCAGGAACGAAAGCGUGGGGAGCGAACAGGAUUAGAUACCCUGGUAGUCCACGCUGUAAACGAUGAUUACUCGUUGUCGGCGAUACACAGUCGGUGGCUAACGAAAGCGAUAAGUAAUCCACCUGGGGAGUACGAUCGCAAGGUUGAAACUCAAAGGAAUUGACGGGGGCCCGCACAAGCGGAGGAGCAUGUGGUUUAAUUCGAUGAUACGCGAGGAACCUUACCUGGGCUUAAAUGUAGAUUGCAUGAAGGGGAAACCUUUCUUUUCUUCGGAACUAUUUACAAGGUGCUGCAUGGUUGUCGUCAGCUCGUGCCGUGAGGUGUCGGGUUAAGUCCCAUAACGAGCGCAACCCCUACCUUUAGUUGCCAUCAGGUAAUGCUGGGGACUCUAAAGGAACUGCCUACGCAAGUAGUGAGGAAGGUGGGGAUGACGUCAAAUCAGCACGGCCCUUACGUCCAGGGCUACACACGUGCUACAAUGGUCGGUACAGAGAGCAGCUAACCCGCGAG
RNAcentral lists this ribosomal RNA (1202 nucleotides) under uncultured organism. RNAcentral's name for it is "bacterial SSU rRNA". It matches the Rfam family "Bacterial small subunit ribosomal RNA", at positions 57 to 1261 of the family's 1533-position model. The record is from RNAcentral.